This 468-nucleotide ribosomal RNA is filed under the name uncultured bacterium. RNAcentral describes it as "partial 16S ribosomal RNA". It matches the Rfam family "Bacterial small subunit ribosomal RNA", at positions 28 to 507 of the family's 1533-position model. The record is from RNAcentral.
GACGAACGCUGGCGGCGUGCUUAACACAUGCAAGUCGAACGGAAAGGCCCUGCUUUUGUGGGGUGCUCGAGUGGCGAACGGGUGAGUAACACGUGAGUAACCUGCCCUUGACUUUGGGAUAACUUCAGGAAACUGGGGCUAAUACCGGAUAGGAGCUCCUGCUGCAUGGUGGGGGUUGGAAAGUUUCGGCGGUUGGGGAUGGACUCGCGGCUUAUCAGCUUGUUGGUGGGGUAGUGGCUUACCAAGGCUUUGACGGGUAGCCGGCCUGAGAGGGUGACCGGCCACAUUGGGACUGAGAUACGGCCCAGACUCCUACGGGAGGCAGCAGUGGGAGAUAUUGCACAAUGGGCGGAAGCCUGAUGCAGCAACGCCGCGUGCGGGAUGACGGCCUUCGGGUUGUAAACCGCUUUCGCCUGUGACGAAGCGUGAGUGACGGUAAUGGGUAAAGAAGCACCGGCUAACUACGUG